AGCGAACGCUGGCGGCAGGCCUAACACAUGCAAGUCGAACGAACCUUUCGGGGUUAGUGGCGGACGGGUGAGUAACACGUGGGAACGUGCCUUUAGGUUCGGAAUAACUCAGGGAAACUUGUGCUAAUACCGAAUGUGCCCUUCGGGGGAAAGAUUUAUCGCCUUUAGAGCGGCCCGCGUCUGAUUAGCUAGUUGGUUGAGGUAAUGGCUCACCAAGGCGACGAUCAGUAGCUGGUCUGAGAGGAUGAUCAGCCACAUUGGGACUGAGACACGGCCCAAACUCCUACGGGAGGCAGCAGUGGGGAAUCUUGCGCAAUGGGCGAAAGCCUGACGCAGCCAUGCCGCGUGAAUGAUGAAGGUCUUAGGGUUGUAAGAUUCUUUCACCGGGGACGAUAGUGACGGUACCCGGAGAGGAAGCCCCGGCUAACUUCGUG
Molecule: ribosomal RNA, 434 nt
Filed under: uncultured bacterium
Lineage: Bacteria
Description: partial 16S ribosomal RNA
Rfam family: Bacterial small subunit ribosomal RNA
Source: RNAcentral